This 257-nucleotide ribosomal RNA is filed under the name uncultured prokaryote. RNAcentral describes it as "partial 16S ribosomal RNA". It matches the Rfam family "Bacterial small subunit ribosomal RNA", at positions 524 to 780 of the family's 1533-position model. The record is from RNAcentral.
UACGGAGGAUGCAAGCGUUAUCCGGAUUUAUUGGGUUUAAAGGGUGCGCAGGUUGUUUGAUAAGUCAGUGGUGAAAGUCUGUCGCUUAACGGUAGGAUUGCCAUUGAUACUGUUGGACUUGAAUAUGGAUGAGGUAGGCGGAAUGUGUAGUGUAGCGGUGAAAUGCAUAGAUAUUACACAGAACACCGAUUGCGAAGGCAGCUUACUAAUCCAUCAUUGACGCUGAGGUACGAAAGCGUGGGGAUCAAACAGGAUUA